Molecule: ribosomal RNA, 585 nt
Filed under: uncultured bacterium
Lineage: Bacteria
Description: partial 16S ribosomal RNA
Rfam family: Bacterial small subunit ribosomal RNA
Source: RNAcentral
UGGGGAAUUUUGGACAAUGGGCGAAAGCCUGAUCCAGCAAUGCCGCGUGUGUGAAGAAGGCCUUCGGGUUGUAAAGCACUUUUGUCCGGAAAGAAAUCCUUGGCUCUAAUACAGUCGGGGGAUGACGGUACCGGAAGAAUAAGCACCGGCUAACUACGUGCCAGCAGCCGCGGUAAUACGUAGGGUGCAAGCGUUAAUCGGAAUUACUGGGCGUAAAGCGUGCGCAGGCGGUUUGCUAAGACCGAUGUGAAGUCCCCGGGCUCAACCUGGGAACUGCAUUGGUGACUGGCAGGCUAGAGUAUGGCAGAGGGGGGUAGAAUUCCACGUGUAGCAGUGAAAUGCGUAGAGAUGUGGAGGAAUACCGAUGGCGAAGGCAGCCCCCUGGGCCAAUACUGACGCUCAUGCACGAAAGCGUGGGGAGCAAACAGGAUUAGAUACCCUGGUAGUCCACGCCCUAAACGAUGUCAACUAGUUGUUGGGGAUUCAUUUCCUUAGUAACGUAGCUAACGCGUGAAGUUGACCGCCUGGGGAGUACGGUCGCAAGAUUAAAACUUAAAGGAAUUGACGGGGUCAUAGCUGUUUCCU